This is a non-coding RNA of Ictidomys tridecemlineatus (thirteen-lined ground squirrel), 72 nucleotides long. The record is from Rfam. NCBI's taxonomy places the organism in Eukaryota, Metazoa, Chordata, Mammalia, Rodentia, Sciuridae.
UGGGCUGGGGCUCAGCGGUAGAGCGCUCGCCUCGCACGUGUGCGGCCCUGGGUUCGAUCUUCAGCACCACAU